This 419-nucleotide ribosomal RNA is filed under the name uncultured eukaryote. RNAcentral describes it as "SSU rRNA". It matches the Rfam family "Eukaryotic small subunit ribosomal RNA", at positions 592 to 1013 of the family's 1831-position model. The record is from RNAcentral.
CAAUAGCGUAUAUUAAAGUUGUUGCGGUUAAAAAAGCUCGUAGUUGGAUUUCUGUCGAGAAGAACCAGUCCGCAUUUUGUGCGUGUAUUUGGUUUCGUCUUGGCAUCCUUUCAAGGAACGUUUCUGUGAUUAAGUUCAUGGAGCGGCACUUUGAAACUUUUACUUUGAGGAAAUUAGAGUGUUCACGGCAGGCAAUCGCCUUGAAUAUAUUAGCAUGGAAUAAUAAUAUAGGAUCUUGGGUCUAUUUUGUUGGUUUCUAGGACAUACGCAAUGAUUAAUAGGGACAAUUGGGGGCAUUCGUAUUAACGCGUCAGAGGUGGAAUUCUUAGAUUGCGUUACGACGAACUACUGCGAAAGCAUUUGCCAAGGAUGUUUUCAUUGAUCAAGAACGAAAGUAUGGGGAUCGAAGAUGAUCAGAU